Molecule: ribosomal RNA, 200 nt
Filed under: uncultured bacterium
Lineage: Bacteria
Description: partial 16S ribosomal RNA
Rfam family: Bacterial small subunit ribosomal RNA
Source: RNAcentral
ACGCUCGACACCUACGGAGGCAGCAGUGGGGAAUAUUGGGCAAUGGAGGCAACUCUGACCCAGCAACGCCGCGUGAAUGAUGAAGGUCUUCGGAUUGUAAAGUUCUGUGACGGGGGACGAACACAAUGACGGUACCCCGAUAGCAAGCCACGGCUAACUACGUGUCAGCAGCCGCGGUAAUCUGAGCGGGCUGGCAAGGC